UACGGAGGGUGCGAGCGUUGUCCGGAAUCACUGGGCGUAAAGGGCGCGUAGGCGGCGGGGUAAGUCGGGUGUGAAAUCUCAGAGCUCAACUCUGAAACUGCACUCGAUACUGCUCUGCUUGAGGACUGGAGAGGAGACUGGAAUUCACGGUGUAGCAGUGAAAUGCGUAGAUAUCGUGAGGAAGACCAGUGGCGAAGGCGGGUCUCUGGACAGUUCCUGACGCUGAGGCGCGAAGGCCAGGGGAGCAAACGGG
RNAcentral lists this ribosomal RNA (253 nucleotides) under uncultured bacterium. Its description in RNAcentral is "partial 16S ribosomal RNA". It matches the Rfam family "Bacterial small subunit ribosomal RNA", at positions 524 to 776 of the family's 1533-position model. The record is from RNAcentral.